Molecule: ribosomal RNA, 253 nt
Filed under: uncultured bacterium
Lineage: Bacteria
Description: partial 16S ribosomal RNA
Rfam family: Bacterial small subunit ribosomal RNA
Source: RNAcentral
UACGUAGGGUGCGAGCGUUGUCCGGAAUUAUUGGGCGUAAAGAGCUUGUAGGCGGUUUGUCGCGUCUGCCGUGAAAGCCCAGGGCUUAACCCUGGGUCUGCGGUGGGUACGGGCAGACUAGAGUGUGGUAGGGGAGACUGGAAUUCCUGGUGUAGCGGUGAAAUGCGCAGAUAUCAGGAGGAACACCGAUGGCGAAGGCAGGUCUCUGGGCCACUACUGACGCUGAGGAGCGAAAGCAUGGGGAGCGAACAGG